Plasmodium falciparum 3D7 is the source of this 136-nucleotide small nuclear RNA. It matches the Rfam family "U4 spliceosomal RNA". Rfam says of the family: U4 small nuclear RNA (U4 snRNA) is a component of the major U2-dependent spliceosome. The structure of U4 snRNA from yeast and human has been reported. The record is from Rfam. NCBI's taxonomy places the organism in Eukaryota, Apicomplexa, Aconoidasida, Haemosporida, Plasmodiidae.
AUCUUUGCGGGAGGGGCAGUAUCGCUGUAAAUGACGACUAACGGAUACGCGAUUAUUGCUAGUUGAAAACUACUCCAAUUCCCGUCUCGAUGCUUGAAAAAGCAGAGAGCAAUUUUUGUAGCCUUUCUUUAUAAAG